Molecule: ribosomal RNA, 253 nt
Filed under: uncultured bacterium
Lineage: Bacteria
Description: partial 16S ribosomal RNA
Rfam family: Bacterial small subunit ribosomal RNA
Source: RNAcentral
UACAGAGGUCCCAAGCGUUGUUCGGAUUCACUGGGCGUAAAGGGCGCGUAGGUGGCGAAGUAAGUCGGAUGUGAAAUCUCCGAGCUCAACUCGGAAAUGGCAUUGGAAACUACUUUGCUCGAGGGUCGGAGGGGGGACUGGAAUUCUCGGUGUAGCAGUGAAAUGCGUAGAUAUCGAGAGGAACACCAGUGGCGAAGGCGAGUCCCUGGACGACUCCUGACACUGAGGCACGAAAGCUAGGGGAGCAAACAGG